This 292-nucleotide ribosomal RNA is filed under the name uncultured bacterium. RNAcentral describes it as "partial 16S ribosomal RNA". It matches the Rfam family "Bacterial small subunit ribosomal RNA", at positions 505 to 796 of the family's 1533-position model. The record is from RNAcentral.
GUGUCAGCCGCCGCGGUAAUACGGAGGGUGCAAGCGUUGUUCGGAAUUACUGGGCGUAAAGCGCGUGUAGGCGGUCGAGUAAGUCAGAUGUGAAAGCCUUCCGCUUAACGGAAGAAGUGCAUUUGAAACUACUCGGCUGGAGUACGGGAGAGGAGAGUGGAAUUCCCGGUGUAGAGGUGAAAUUCGUAGAUAUCGGGAGGAACACCAGUGGCGAAAGCGGCUCUCUGGUCCGAUACUGACGCUGAUACGCGAAAGCGUGGGGAGCAAACAGGAUUAGAAACCCUAGUAGUCC